Long non-coding RNA from Canis lupus familiaris (dog), 721 nucleotides. RefSeq lists it as uncharacterized. The transcript is spliced from 3 exons. The record is from RefSeq and is a predicted model, not a curated record. Lineage: Eukaryota; Metazoa; Chordata; Mammalia; Carnivora; Canidae.
GAGGAACACUAAAGAAUUAGUGGCCACCUUUGGAUCAUGAGAUGCCUUUGGGAUAGAAGCUAAAUUCGAGGAUAGUGAAGAAGAAAGGCAAGAGCCUAGGACCCUGAUGCCUGUGGAGCCAUCAUAACAGUCCAGAAUUCCAUGAAGAGAAGAGUGAAGGAAAGGAUGUGUCCCCUGGUAUAACGGCUCUAAAGGAGACUCUCAACAUCUACAAUGGUGGUGUUUUAUAGACACAGAAACCCAAGGAACCUGUGGUGGUCUUUCCACUGAGCAGCCCCCAGUCCCAGACUUCUUAUGUGGUGACAGCUCCUCAGAGAAAAGAAGGUGCUGGAAAAUACCUUCACUAACGAGUGAAAAGGUGGUAAGAACACGAGAGGUGAUUGGAUAACAGCACAGAGAAAAUUCUCUGUAAUAAAAGCCAUGAUCUUUGAAUCUAAAAGUGUUGUAGAUGAAUGGAAGACAAUGGUGACUACUGUGACAUGAACCUCAAGAGUAAGAAUUUGGAACAAAAUUGCAAAGAGAAGGAAAUCCUGGAGAGAGAACGUCAGCAAGUUUCUGCACAGAUCCAUGAGGCUCAGUAUAUGAAUGACAGCAGUUCUAGAAGGCACGAGGAAUAGAUAAAGGAGAGCUUAUUUACAAACAAAUAUAAAAAGAAAUUUAUCUGAGCUGAUGAGAGAACUGAUGUGAAAGAAGUCUCCAGAGUAAAAACAUUCUAAGUAAU